ACUUGAUUGCAUUGUGAUAGCUCUCAUUAAUGCAACUAGGGUGAGGGUGGUUAUCCGUGAUAGUUCAGUGUUCUGAACCUAACCGGACCCCCAGGCGGUUAUUACGUUUUUGGUGAAUGUCCGAACGGACCCCCAGUUUUGGUGAAUGUCCGACUGGUUCAGUACUCUGAAUCCAACCAGGCCCGUAACGGUUAAUCAGCUACACCCCUUUAACGCGACAGAUAGUCACAGCCAGCAAUGGCACCAAGCCCAGCUCCAGCAGAACCAGCUUGGUGUCCUCCUGCCCUCGCAGGGACCCCUGGUCACACAGAUGGUGCUUGCCUGCAGCUCUGCAGCACACGGCUUCAAAAAAUGAGAAGCAUCCCUGUGGGACUGAGCCCAGCAUCUUGCAGCAUCACACAGGGCAGCAGAUCAAAGCUCCUCUCGGCAGCGAGACCCCAAGGCAUUCGUGAGAAAUGUUUGCUGCAACCACAACAACCUGCUGCAAACCUCAACUAGCAAUCAGACGAGCUGUGGUACCUCUGCAUCUCUGGGGUCCGUUUGGAUGGAGAUUCGGCCGUAACAUCCCAGGGUUACCCAGACUCCUACAAGCUAAUUUACAGGUAGGAUAAAGAACUGCUGCUUAUCUGAGCAGCUCUCUUAAUCUGAGAUUCACCACUAAUUACAGCCAAGGAUGAAGGGGGGGGGGGCUGACAGGACACAGCGUGCCUGUGGGACACAUUUCUCCUGUACGUACCUGCUGCACUGCAAACACUGAGCUUUUAAGGUGCUGUCUCCUGAACCUGUGAACCAGCAGCACCAGCCAAACGGUGUCUGCAGGAAGCACUGGAGAAGCAGAGUAACACAAAUC
This 850-nucleotide long non-coding RNA is filed under the name Anas platyrhynchos platyrhynchos (common mallard). RNAcentral's name for it is "lncRNA (ENSAPLG00000029537.1)". Lineage: Eukaryota; Metazoa; Chordata; Aves; Anseriformes; Anatidae. The record is from RNAcentral.